GAAAUGCGAUAAGUAAUGUGAAUUGCAGAAUUCCGUGAAUCAUUAAAUCUUUGAACGCACAUUGCGCCUUUUGGUAUUCCUCAAGGCAUGCCUGUUCGAGAAUCAGUUUAACCAUCAAAUCUAUUUUGGAAACAACGUAUAUUUGGACUUGGGACUUCUCGAUAGAGAGACCCUAAUUAUAUUUGUUGCCCAUCUCUGACGAGACUAUAUGAACGGCAUGACCAUUGAACGCAAGUUCUUCUGAUUGCAACUAAUAUUUUUGAAGCUUUGAUGCCGUACAGAAUUUAUACGAAGCUGCACUUUAUGCGACUUUAAGACUUGAUCUCGAAUCAGACAAGACUACCCGCUGAACUUAA
Molecule: unclassified non-coding RNA, 356 nt
Filed under: uncultured fungus
Lineage: Eukaryota; Fungi
Description: sequence contains ITS1
Rfam family: 5.8S ribosomal RNA (bases 1-105)
Source: RNAcentral